GUGGGGAAUCUUCCGCAAUGGACGAAAGUCUGACGGAGCAACGCCGCGUGAGUGAUGAAGGUCUUCGGAUUGUAAAGCUCUGUUAAUCGGGACGAAAGAGCCUAGUGUGAAUAAUGCUAGGAAGUGACGGUACCGGAAUAGAAAGCCACGGCUAACUACGUGCCAGCAGCCGCGGUAAUACGUAGGUGGCAAGCGUUGUCCGGAAUUAUUGGGCGUAAAGCGCGCGCAGGCGGAUCUGCCAGUCUGUCUUAAAAGUUGGGGGCUUAACCCCGUGAUGGGAUGGAAACUACAGAUCUAGAGUGUCGGAGAGGAAAGUGGAAUUCCUAGUGUAGCGGUGAAAUGCGUAGAUAUUAGGAAGAACACCAGUGGCGAAGGCGACUUUCUGGACGAAAACUGACGCUGAGGCGCGAAAGCCAGGGGAGCGAACGGGAUUAGAUACCCGAGUAGUCC
RNAcentral lists this ribosomal RNA (450 nucleotides) under uncultured bacterium. RNAcentral's name for it is "partial 16S ribosomal RNA". It matches the Rfam family "Bacterial small subunit ribosomal RNA", at positions 354 to 796 of the family's 1533-position model. The record is from RNAcentral.